UACGUAGGGUGCGAGCGUUGUCCGGAAUUACUGGGCGUAAAGAGCUCGUAGGUGGUUUGUCGCGUUGUUCGUGAAAACUCACAGCUUAACUGUGGGCGUGCGGGCGAUACGGGCAGACUGGAGUACUGCAGGGGAGACUGGAAUUCCUGGUGUAGCGGUGGAAUGCGCAGAUAUCAGGAGGAACACCGGUGGCGAAGGCGGGUCUCUGGGCAGUAACUGACGCUGAGGAGCGAAAGCCAGGGGAGCAAACGGG
RNAcentral lists this ribosomal RNA (253 nucleotides) under uncultured bacterium. RNAcentral describes it as "partial 16S ribosomal RNA". It matches the Rfam family "Bacterial small subunit ribosomal RNA", at positions 524 to 776 of the family's 1533-position model. The record is from RNAcentral.